CUAAAAAAAAGCAUAUCAACAUGUGUUCGAUUUUGCUCACAUACAGACCUAGAUGGCAGUGAAGUAACUAAGUGAGUCGUAACAUCCAGAAACCGUGCGCUGCUGCACGAUUGAGGACAGACUUUGUGUUGAGCUGAGUGUAGUGUUCAGGAAUAUUUGUGGAACUGCCCCACGAACGGAUAAAUCGCCCGAAGGCAGGCCAGACACCAGCGCCAUCCAGCUGGUGCAACUCCUUUAGGAAAUCAGCCUCGGCGAGUGAUGUCAGAGGUACGACCUGAUCUUCAGGGACUGUAGAUUCUUGUUUGUAUUGAUCAGACUUCGGCCCAGCAAUGGUAACUUUGUGUACGGUGUUCGUCCACAGUUUUCUUUCCUGCCAUGAAUAUAUAUAUCAUACGCCCAGUGUUUACGAUGGUAUGAUCG
This is a non-coding RNA of Zootermopsis nevadensis, 420 nucleotides long. The record is from RefSeq and is a predicted model, not a curated record. Lineage: Eukaryota; Metazoa; Arthropoda; Insecta; Blattodea; Termopsidae.